UUGGAGGGCAAGUCUGGUGCCAGCAGCCGCGGUAAUUCCAGCUCCAGUAGCGUAUAUUAAAGUUGUUGCAGUUAAAAAGCUCGUAGUUGAAUUUCGGGAUCAGAGUGUCGGUCGUGCCUCGGUACGCACUGGUAUUAUUGGUUCCUACCUUCUGAAGAACCGCGAUGUCAUUAAUUUGGUGUCGUGGGGAAUCAGGACUGUUACUUUGAAAAAAUUAGGGUGUUUAAAGCAGGCUUACGCUUGAAUACAUUAGCAUGGAAUAAUGAAAUAGGACGUUUGAUUCUACUUUGUUGGUUUCUAGGAUUGACGUAAUGAUUAAUAGGGAUAGUUGGGGGCAUUAGUAUUCAAUUGUCAGAGGUGAAAUUCUUGGAUUUAUUGAAGGCUAACUACUGCGAAAGCAUUUGCCAAGGAUGUUUUCAUUAAUCAAGAACGAAAGUUAGGGGAUCGAAGACGAUCAGAUACCGUCGUAGUCUUAACCAUAAACUAUGCCGACUAGGGAUCGGAUGAUGUUAAUUUUUUAAUGACUCAUUCGGCGCCUUACGGGAAACCAAAGUGUUUGGGUUC
RNAcentral lists this ribosomal RNA (564 nucleotides) under uncultured Glomeromycotina. RNAcentral's name for it is "SSU rRNA". It matches the Rfam family "Eukaryotic small subunit ribosomal RNA", at positions 548 to 1114 of the family's 1831-position model. The record is from RNAcentral. Lineage: Eukaryota; Fungi; Glomeromycota.